Molecule: long non-coding RNA, 632 nt
Filed under: Triticum aestivum (bread wheat)
Lineage: Eukaryota; Viridiplantae; Streptophyta; Magnoliopsida; Poales; Poaceae
Description: long non-coding RNA (TAES_LNC022573)
Source: RNAcentral
UUAUACAUCAUGUUUAUUGUGAUUCAAGUGUGCUUACGGUUUCCAUCAGUCACUAGCAUGCGCAGGCGAUACCGAGCCUUCCCCAUGUACUCAGUUGUGCUCACUGGCCUAUUUGAUCCAUGCUCUGAUUUUUUUGGUGUACAAUGGCGUUGUAAAUACUUUGUUCCAGCCGCCCUUUUUUGCCGGGUGCUGGAAAUAGGUUGCUCGGAGUGAGCUUCUUCCUGCAUUUGAGUUUGGUUAUUCGGUAUGUGCCCUUAUGUUGGACUGCAUAUAGUUUCUUAUGAAUUGCAGUUUUAAGUGUUAAAGCCGGAUUUUAUUUUCUGUUUGAAUGCACACCAUCUUGUGGUACUUUAUUAAAUAAGAUAGAAUUACAGCUUUCUUCUUGCGUGUUUGGCCGUUUUAGGUUACAUAUUGCUUUCAAUUUUUUUACCUUUCUGGAUUUGUCUUCAUUUGAGCCGAUUGCCAUUUCAAAUUUGGGCAUUCAUUCAUUUGCAGGUGGCGUCUCGUAGAAAUGUACCACGUCCGCACCAAAAUAUAAGACGUCUUUGUAGGCUAGCGUCUUCUUACAUUUUGAUACAGAGGGAAUAGUUGGUUUCUUGCAUGAUUCAUCUGAACCACCUGCAAGCUUGAAC